AGAGUUUGAUCCUGGCUCAGGAUGAACGCUAGCUACAGGCUUAACACAUGCAAGUCGAGGGGAAACGACAUCGAAAGCUUGCUUUUGAUGGGCGUCGACCGGCGCACGGGUGAGUAACGCGUAUCCAACCUGCCCAUCACUUGGGGAUAACCUUGCGAAAGUAAGACUAAUACCCAAUGAUAUCUCUAGAAGGCAUCUGAAAGAGAUUAAAGAUUUAUCGGUGAUGGAUGGGGAUGCGUCUGAUUAGCUUGUUGGCGGGGUAACGCCCACAAGCAACGAUCAGUAGGGGUUCUGAGAGGAAGGUCCCCCANAUUGGAACUGAGACACGGCCCAAACUCCUACGGGAGGCA
This 350-nucleotide ribosomal RNA is filed under the name uncultured bacterium. RNAcentral describes it as "bacterial SSU rRNA". It matches the Rfam family "Bacterial small subunit ribosomal RNA", at positions 8 to 350 of the family's 1533-position model. The record is from RNAcentral.